Molecule: long non-coding RNA, 1108 nt
Organism: Oryza sativa Japonica Group (Japanese rice)
Lineage: Eukaryota; Viridiplantae; Streptophyta; Magnoliopsida; Poales; Poaceae
Source: RefSeq, a predicted model, not a curated record
ACGACAUGAAGUUUGGCCUGACAAAUGUUCAUACCCCCAUGUGGCUGUUAACUGGGAGAUAUAGAUUCCUUUCCCGAUUGAUCAAAGCGCACAGAAAUUAAGUCGUGCAUAUAGUUCAGCUACAUUUAUUCUCCGAUCGCUUUCAUAGCUUUUCCUUUUCUCAUCGAUCGAGCUGAUUGCUGCUUCGCGUACGCGCCUAGAAAUACAGCACGCCCCGUCGACCCGGGGGGUUGCAGAUCGAUCGGAAGCUCAAACGCACGCUAGCUACUGCAGGCACACCAAGCUGACGAACGACAACAUGAGCACCACCGGAAGGGCUCUCCUCGUCGCUCUCGCCGCCGUUCUUCUCGUCACCGGCGACGCACUCCUCGCUCCCGCCGGUGGCCAGGAGCAGUACACCAAGGCGCCGGCGGAAGCGCACAAAGGCUACAGCAUCGUGCCUGGAUUUCAGGCCCCAUGUAAAGGCUGGCUGGACCAUCAUGCCCAUCUUCUUCUUCACUUGUGUCAUUCUCCCUACCAUUUCUCCAUGUUUAUCUGUAGGUGUCGGCAGGUUUGGCCAGCUUGCUCUCUCUAACUUCAUCUGCAAAUUAAAACCCAGCACCUUGAUAGCGAUCCACGCGUUUACUAAAGGAUCGUUGAAAGACACCUCUUUCAUCUGCGCUGCUCUUAAUUCAUGCUGUUGUAUAUUCAUUCUGAAAAAUGUUGUGUUGCUGUGCUGUAGUCAGUAACAGACUAACAGUAACACGCCUCAUGCACAUUCAAUUUUGGAGAGGUCAAGUUGUAACAUAAAGAAUGAAUUCUCAGGAUCAGAUUUCAGAAGACAGUGAAUGAGAGAGAGAGAUUUUGCACCAUGUUUAUGCCUGAUGCUUUGAUUGACAACAAAAGCAAGUCAACUGUAUUAGCAACUUGCAAGCGUGGAGAGUAGUACUAGUAUAUCGAAUGCUGCUGGGUCGACCAUGUUUCCGGUAGCAGUGGCAAUGAUUGGCCCAAGUAUUCUAGAGAGUUUUAUUCAGUUAUCGACAUCUCCUCCCCAAUCCUUUGAUCUGAUACACCACGUUGUACGCAAUGUUUGCCAACUUAUUUAAUCCAGUUUGAUAGUUCUAUUUCA